This is a long non-coding RNA of Panicum virgatum (switchgrass), 1469 nucleotides long. RefSeq lists it as uncharacterized. The transcript is spliced from 2 exons. The record is from RefSeq and is a predicted model, not a curated record. NCBI's taxonomy places the organism in Eukaryota, Viridiplantae, Streptophyta, Magnoliopsida, Poales, Poaceae.
GUCAACUGAACGCGCCCUGCCACGCUCGCAUGUUCUUUGUGAAAGAAAGGUUUGCAUGUUCUUGGGCAGUGCGCUUUUGCAGCAGCAGUUUCCCUUGUCUUCUGAUCAGGCAACUGGUCUGGUUGGCACGGAGAUUGGAACCGACGAGUAUUCUGAUCGCAGUGGAGGGGAAUAAACUACCCUCGGCCUCCUGCCGGGAAACUACGGGCGUGUUCGGUUCGCUGCCUAAGGCGCCACAGCCUAACCUUAGGCGCGCCAUAGCAUCGGAGGCAUGUGUUUGGUGAACAGCUAAAGUUAGUCAGCCACACUUUCUUAGGCGCGGUUCCAUCGACAUGCCACACAAUUUUCACGCCGCAUCUGCGGCGGUCGAUUUGAGCGCCACACCCCGAAGGCACGCCACACACUCCCCAUUUUCCUCCAGCCGCCACCACUCCUUCCCUUCCCGUCGCUUGUGACCUCCGUUACCGGAGCUUCCACCUCCCACCUCCGCUCUGAACGACGUCCCCGACCCCGUUUUCGGCUGCCGAUUGAAGGUACGCGUCUCCCCUUCUCCUCACGCAUAGAGCACGCAAGCGCCGCUGCACCGUGGGAGCAGGUGCUGCCAUGGGAGCACCAGCCGUCAACUUGCAGAUCUGUGGGCGGCCAUGGCAGCACAUGCUGCAAAAGCUCAAGAUCCGUUCGCGAUAGGGCCUAGCUGCUAUGGAUUUGGUGGCCGUCGUGGUCGGCGCCGUCUGCAUGGCUUGCUCGAUGUGUGUCCGUCCAUGCCUUGUCCCGUGGAUCUGCCUUAUUCUUCCCCCAUGCGGCUAGCUGCAUGCGUGUGUGCACAGGCGGCCAUGUUCUACGUGGCCAGGAGCUUGCUAACGCCGUGGAUCUUGGUCAAGAUUCAUUUGUCUAUUUCUGUACCUAACAUUCUUUUUUCUUUCUUGCAUGCAUAAACGAACAUUGCUAGGGGCUGCUCCAAGAUGGGUGCAAAAAAACUAUAUCUUGAGUAUUGCUAUUAUUACGAUCAUUACUUGCGAAGAAGAAGAUUGCUUGUUUGCAUUGCCAUAUGUGUUUGUAUGUUGUGGUACAAGCUGCAAGAAAAUAGAUUGGCCAAGAGGCAUGUCAAAUACGGUUCUAUGUUACAAAGAGAUCUAGAAAGGGAAAGGCGCCUGAAUCGUUUGUAUAAUGGGACUGAAGCCAACUGUAUUAGCGAGCUGCGUAUGCGUAAAUUUGUUUUCCAUAAUGGGACUGAAGAUGGAUGGUGUCAAUGAAGGCUCAUUCUUUUGCACUUCUUCUAGGCUGAUAUAUGAUGGCUAUGAAGAUAGAUGGUGUUGCUCACAACAAUUUGUUUAGCACUUAGAUGAUGCUACACACUUUUGUUAAUGCAUAUUUUGCUAUAAUGUAACUAAUGUGAACCAAUUAAGGUUGUUAUUGACAUGAUGUGGAGACAUUAUCAAUUUGAUAUGGGCAUAUGGAUAUGUUAUGUC